This 580-nucleotide long non-coding RNA is filed under the name Homo sapiens (human). RNAcentral describes it as "HSALNT0242306". The record is from RNAcentral. Lineage: Eukaryota; Metazoa; Chordata; Mammalia; Primates; Hominidae.
CAAGCCCUGGACAGGACCAGCCAGCUAGAGACAAAUGUACCCAGAAUCCCCCGCCUUUUUAUCGGUGGAUUUCAGCCCUCAAAGCGUUCCGUGAGCCUCUGACCGCCCAAAUCCAUCACACAUGAGUUGGAAUGCCAGGGACCAUUCCCGGCCAAACGUUAGAUUACAGGAGUAAGAGAGAAGAGGAGGGACUGUCCGAGGUGCCUCGGCACUAUGGCUGCACAGCUGGAUCUCUGGACACGGAGCCCUGGACCGUUUCCACCCAGACACUCCCAUUCCAUCAAGUGGGGGUGUGGACGUUUAUGCAAUUCUGGAAGGUCUCCUGGUGGGGACCCCUGGGAAAGAGACUAAUAAGAAAGCAUCCAGUUUCUUCGGUCUCUGACGUUGUUGUCUGCACAAGAGAGUUAAGGCAGCCAUCUUGGGACCAUGAGGGAGCCAGUCUAAGAGGCAAAUCAACACAAUGAGAGGGUGUUGGAAAAAGACAAAAAGAACCUGGUCCUUGAUGUCACAGCCAGGCCUCUGAAUUAACCACCCCCAGGACUUCUUGUUACGUGAGCUAAUAAACGUUCCUUUUUGCUUA